CAGUUUCUAAAGUGGAGGAAGCACUGUUGCACUGCACACAAAGGAUUUGGAGGCUGGCAGCCAUUUAAAACCUGAUGAUUAUGUAAGAUCCCCGCGGAGCUGCCUCGAAGAAGGAUGCUAAUAUCACAUAUCAGUUAGAUGACCAAGUUCAGGGCCUGCACAACUGCUGCAGCUCGGCUCUGGAGUGCGGAUCAAUGGAAUACUGCUGGGGAUACAAGGGACCACACCCACAUACUGAUUAGACCCUCUGAUUGGAUAUCACAUGGAUGUCUUGACCACUACCAUGGCUCUCAUGCAAAUUGAUAAAGAGAGAACCAGUACACUUGGUUUUCCCUAGAGGAGGAGGAAAGGGUGCAUUGACAUGGAGCUUUUGGGAUGGAGCUGAGUAUGGAUCAGUGGGAUUUUCUCAUCACUCUGCCCUCAAGAACUGCCAGAUAAGGGAGCGAGAGGGAGAGAAGAGAAAAGGCCAAGGAGAGACAGAGAGAGCCAG
Molecule: long non-coding RNA, 490 nt
Organism: Lates calcarifer (barramundi perch)
Lineage: Eukaryota; Metazoa; Chordata; Actinopteri; Centropomidae
Exons: 4
Source: RefSeq, a predicted model, not a curated record